GGAGGGUCCAAGCGUUACUCGGAAUCACUGGGCGUAAAGGACCCGUAUGGCGGGUUGUCAAGUCAGGUGUGAAAUCCUACAGCUUAACUGUAGAACUGCACUUGAAACUGGCAACCUAGAGUAUGGGAGGGGGAGAUGGAAUUAGUGGUGUAGGGGUAAAAUCCGUAGAUAUCACUAGGAAUAUCAAAAGCGAAGGCGAUCUCCUGGAACAUUACUGACGCUAAGGCGUGAAAGCGUGGGGAGCAAACAGGAUUAGAUACCCUGGUAGUCCACGCCCUAAACGAUGAACACUAGUCGUCGGGAUGCUAGUCAUCUCGGUDAUKCACUUAACAGAUUAAGUG
RNAcentral lists this ribosomal RNA (341 nucleotides) under uncultured bacterium. RNAcentral describes it as "bacterial SSU rRNA". It matches the Rfam family "Bacterial small subunit ribosomal RNA", at positions 527 to 866 of the family's 1533-position model. The record is from RNAcentral.